Molecule: ribosomal RNA, 253 nt
Filed under: uncultured bacterium
Lineage: Bacteria
Description: partial 16S ribosomal RNA
Rfam family: Bacterial small subunit ribosomal RNA
Source: RNAcentral
UACGGGGGGGGCAAGCGUUGUUCGGAAUUACUGGGCAUAAAGGGUGCGUAGGCGGCUUGUUAAGUCAGGGGUGAAAGUUUUCGGCCCAACCGGAAAAUUGCCUUUGAUACUGGCGGGCUGGAGUGCGUGAGGGGUGACCGGAACGAGUGGUGUAGCGGUGAAAUGCGUAGAUAUCACUCGGAAGGCCAACGGCGAAGGCAGGUCACUGGUGCGCAACUGACGCUGAGGCACGAAAGCGUGGGGAGCAAACAGG